GCUCCCGUGGUGAAAAGGAUAUCACACUUGGCUUCGGACCAAGAGUUUUGGGUUCAAGUCCUGACGGGAGCACCA
RNAcentral lists this transfer RNA (75 nucleotides) under bacterium. Its description in RNAcentral is "tRNA-Arg". It matches the Rfam family "tRNA". From Rfam's summary of the family: Transfer RNA (tRNA) molecules are approximately 80 nucleotides in length. The record is from RNAcentral.